Molecule: non-coding RNA, 86 nt
Filed under: Candidatus Omnitrophota bacterium
Lineage: Bacteria; Pseudomonadati; Candidatus Omnitrophota
Description: Omnitrophica WOR c-di-GMP sequence
Rfam family: c-di-GMP-I riboswitch aptamer
About the family: GEMM was predicted in a large-scale screen for bacterial structured RNA regulatory elements. Genes associated with GEMM are involved in a diverse array of functions, including chemotaxis regulation, signal transduction, secretion and chitin.
Source: RNAcentral
AGUUGAAAAAGGUAAACCAUUCGUAAGGGUGGGGCACAAAGCUAGAGGGUCCUGUACCGUACGGUACAGGACAGCCAGUUGCCGCU